UUUUUUGGGGGGGCCUGCCCAUGUUGCUUUGACAAAACCUCAUAUCUUGUUUCUAAUUGCCACUCCAUAUUAUACAUUCAGCACGUUGAUUCAUCCAUAUUCCCAGUGAUGGACUGAGGUUGCUUCCAGUAUCCUUUCCCGUCAUACCUAUCACUGCAAUGAAGUGACCAAGGACUGUCAGAUUGAAACUUAGAUCUUGAGUACCAGAAGGAGUUUCAAAGAUACAUUUGUGAAAUACUCAGAAAUAUUAGAUGCGGGACAUCUCUGAGUGGUUGUAUAUUGCACUCCACUUUGCAAAUGAAAUAAAACACUGGAAGAAGACAUACAUAAGAGAAAAAGCAUUGCUCUCAGCUUUUACGCCGUUUCCUAGUUUAUUUGGGACUCUGUCCUCUACCCAGACAUCGGUCAUUUGAGAUCCGUGCCAGAAUAACACCCAGUGCUCCAGGGUGUCUACUGAAGACGUAAUGCAACAAUGGAGUGUGAAAUAUGCUGGAAUCUAGAAGAAUCACUGGCUGAAUGUGAGCCUUGCAGUGUCCGCCACACGCAAGGACUAACUUCUGAAAAUAAAGUACUUGUAUCCAUUAGAAAAACCA
RNAcentral lists this long non-coding RNA (593 nucleotides) under Vulpes vulpes (red fox). RNAcentral describes it as "lncRNA (ENSVVUG00000030053.1)". Lineage: Eukaryota; Metazoa; Chordata; Mammalia; Carnivora; Canidae. The record is from RNAcentral.